UCCCAAAUAAAAAAAAGGAAACAAAUGAAAAAAAGAAAAAAGAAAACAAAAAGGCAAGGAAGAAGGACAUAAACUUCUGAUGGCUGCUCUUCUUUGAUCUACACGAUGACUUUGACAAAACUAGCGAUUUGAGGAGAGCCUUACCUCUCGAUGACGGCAGAGAUGAGACAAUAUCAAGUUUGAGCGAUAUCCACAUGGGCGCUCAAACUCUCACAAACACCAUGGAUUCAACUCAUUGAAGACUUCUUCAACUUGACACCAAUUAUCACAAACGUAUCUCAAGAUUGAACCCCAAGGAGUUGAUACCACUGCAACAAACCCAUGAAACUACCAAGACCGCAAUACGGGACAGAUGAUUGGAACAGGACAUGAAU
Molecule: long non-coding RNA, 374 nt
Organism: Solanum tuberosum (potato)
Lineage: Eukaryota; Viridiplantae; Streptophyta; Magnoliopsida; Solanales; Solanaceae
Exons: 3
Source: RefSeq, a predicted model, not a curated record